GACGAACGCUGGCGGCGUGCCUAAUACAUGCAAGUAGAACGCUGAAGGAGGAGCUUGCUUCUCUGGAUGAGUUGCGAACGGGUGAGUAACGCGUAGGUAACCUGCCUGGUAGCGGGGGAUAACUAUUGGAAACGAUAGCUAAUACCGCAUAAGAGUAGAUGUUGCAUGACAUUUGCUUAAAAGGUGCAAUUGCAUCACUACCAGAUGGACCUGCGUUGUAUUAGCUAGUUGGUGAGGUAACGGCUCACCAAGGCAACGAUACAUAGCCGACCUGAGAGGGUGAUCGGCCACACUGGGACUGAGACACGGCCCAGACUCCUACGGGAGGCAGCAGUAGGGAAUCUUCGGCAAUGGACGGAAGUCUGACCGAGCAACGCCGCGUGAGUGAAAGAAAGGGUUUUUCGGGAUUCGUAAAAGCUUCUGUUGUAAAG
RNAcentral lists this ribosomal RNA (431 nucleotides) under Streptococcus mitis. RNAcentral describes it as "bacterial SSU rRNA". It matches the Rfam family "Bacterial small subunit ribosomal RNA", at positions 28 to 443 of the family's 1533-position model. Lineage: Bacteria; Bacillati; Bacillota; Bacilli; Lactobacillales; Streptococcaceae. The record is from RNAcentral.